GGCCACCUCUCUGCAGUGUUUUUUGCAAAU
Molecule: non-coding RNA, 30 nt
Filed under: Rattus norvegicus (Norway rat)
Lineage: Eukaryota; Metazoa; Chordata; Mammalia; Rodentia; Muridae
Source: RNAcentral